UACAGAGGUCUCAAGCGUUGUUCGGAAUCACUGGGCGUAAAGGGUGUGUAGGCGGUGUGUUAAGUCAGAUGUGAAAGCCCGGGGCCCAACCUCGGAACUGCAUCCGAUACUGGCAUGCUAGAGAAUUGGAGAGGAGUCUAGAAUUCACGGUGUAGCAGUGAAAUGCGUAGAUAUCGUGAGGAAUACCAAGUGCGAAGGCAGGACUCUGGACAUUUUCUGACGCUGAGACACGAAGGCCAGGGGAGCAAACGGG
This 253-nucleotide ribosomal RNA is filed under the name uncultured bacterium. Its description in RNAcentral is "partial 16S ribosomal RNA". It matches the Rfam family "Bacterial small subunit ribosomal RNA", at positions 524 to 776 of the family's 1533-position model. The record is from RNAcentral.